This 588-nucleotide ribosomal RNA is filed under the name uncultured bacterium. RNAcentral describes it as "bacterial SSU rRNA". It matches the Rfam family "Bacterial small subunit ribosomal RNA", at positions 338 to 916 of the family's 1533-position model. The record is from RNAcentral.
CCUACGGGAGGCAGCAGUGGGGAAUUUUGGACAAUGGGGGCAACCCUGAUCCAGCCAUGCCGCGUGAGUGAAGAAGGCCUUCGGGUUGUAAAGCUCUUUUGGUCGGGAAGAAAGCGCCUUGCCUAAUACGUGGGGUGGUUGACGGUACCGGCAGAAUAAGCACCGGCUAACUACGUGCCAGCAGCCGCGGUAAUACGUAGGGUGCGAGCGUUAAUCGGAAUUACUGGGCGUAAAGCGUGCGCAGGCGGUUUGUUAAGUCUGAUGUAAAAGCUCCUGGCUCAACUGGGAGAGGACGUUCAAUACUGUCAGGCUAGAGGACGGCAGAGGGAGGUGGAAUUCCCGGUGUAGUGGUGAAAUGCGUAGAUAUCGGGAGGAACACCAGUGGCGAAGGCGGCCUUCUGGGCCGUUACUGACGCUCAGACGCGAAAGCUAGGGGAGCGAACGGGAUUAGAAACCCCGGUAGUCCUAGCCGUAAACGAUGUAGACUUGGUGUAGGUGGUGUAAAAGCCAUCGGUGCCGAAGCUAACGCGAUAAGUCUACCGCCUGGGGACUACGGCCGCAAGGUUAAAACUCAAAGGGAAUUGACGG